AAUGGGAACAUGUAUACCUCCAGCCGGUUAAUACAAACUUUACAUGGACCCUGGGUUAACAAAAUUCAUUUGCCGCUCCUCCCUUUUUAUUUUAUCUCUCUCCCUCUUCUCCGACUCCCUCGCCUCCGUCGUUUCUCUCGCUGUAAUCUCUUCUCCAUCUCCGUCGAUCUAGCCUCUCUCUGACUCCCUCCCAAUCGACUCUCUCGCCUCCGUCUCUUUGUACCGUGUCUCCCUCACUGAAUCUCUCCCCUACAUCUCUGGCGAGAUCUCUCAGGCAUAUAACUCGGUAAUCAAGUCUCCUUUGAAGUGUUCAUAGCUUAGGUUAAGUCUGUUAAGUUGUCAUCAAGUAUCAUUAACGCGCCAAGCAAUAACUCUUGAAAGGUAUGUUUACAUGUAUUUUUCAGGCACCAUAUUCUUGAAUAUUUUACCAUUUUUUCAUAAUUGUCAAUAGCACUUCAAAAACAUUAGCUGUUUCUGGUGAAAGUUCUGUUGCAGGAAUUAGCUGAUGAUUUUAAUAUUUUAUUUUUUGUCAGGAAGGAUUUUAAUCUAAUUUGGAAGUGUUAGGGAGGAAUUUGGAAUUGGCAUUUUUCUUUUUGGAUAGUUGGGUCAAUUUCAUAUUUCUCUCCAUAACUAUCCUUGUAUUCCAGCUAUGCUUGUGAGAUGUGUCUUUAAACUUUUGGUCCCUGUGGAGCAUGAAUUAUAAAUAUAUAAGUUUGUUGGAUGAGUUUAUGUUCUCAAUUUUUCUUCCAAAUGACCCAUUUUUCCAAAGGAUGAAAAUUUUGCCUACUGGCCUUGAAAUGAACUUGGAACAUGAGUACUACCAUUCAACUGCAUACAGUUUCUCCAUAAAUAAGCUUUUUCAAAUGCUUGCAAGGACUCAUUCUUUCCUUUUACAAAAACGAGCCUGUCAUUUCUAAUAUAUUCACUUGUUUCUACGGUUUUAUUAUCGAAAACUCUUGCAUCAUGUGUGCUCAGCUCCUUAAACUUCUGUGGUGUUGUUCAAACCCCGUCAGUUUUAUCAUCUCAUUUCAUAUUUUACUCAUCAACAUCCUAACUUGUCUUGCUCAAUUUAGAUUACUACUCGGACUGUAGUAACACUACUGCUAUUAGAUUUUAAGUGUACAAAGUACUGCAGGAAGGAUGUAAUAAACAUUUUCACUCGUUUGUGUGGACAUCUCUGAACUAUUUUUCCUGGCUCAUUUAGAUUUUAGAGUUGCAAACUAUUGUUCAGACAUAGGGAAGUUGCUUGCACAUGUGUUUCUGAUUUUGCUUAAAUUUAUUUAUAUGAUCAGGUGCUCGCACAAUUGAAAAUUUGGAAUUGCUCUCUGUAACUCCUUCUCGAGCCGGCUAUACAAUUUUAGUGGAAGAGGAGAUCAAGAUCCUGCAUUAGACAGUGUGAAUAUACUUAUGUCGGAGCCGCUCUUGUAAUUACUUUGCUACUUUUGACGAAGGAAGAUUCUUGUUUUAAGAAAACUAAACACUGAUAUAAUGUUGUUGUUUGGAGCUGACCCAAAACUUUUAUUAUGUGUAAAAAGUUGAGAAAUUUAAUUGUUUAUUUUACUGUGCAUUAGAUUCUUAUAA
Daucus carota subsp. sativus is the source of this 1581-nucleotide long non-coding RNA. RefSeq lists it as uncharacterized. Lineage: Eukaryota; Viridiplantae; Streptophyta; Magnoliopsida; Apiales; Apiaceae. The transcript is spliced from 2 exons. The record is from RefSeq and is a predicted model, not a curated record.